This 73-nucleotide transfer RNA is filed under the name Chloroflexota bacterium. RNAcentral's name for it is "Chloroflexi bacterium (hydrothermal vent metagenome) tRNA-Thr". It matches the Rfam family "tRNA". From Rfam's summary of the family: Transfer RNA (tRNA) molecules are approximately 80 nucleotides in length. Their secondary structure includes four short double-helical elements and three loops (D, anti-codon, and T loops). RNAcentral also lists the same sequence under 1 other name. Lineage: Bacteria; Bacillati; Chloroflexota. The record is from RNAcentral.
GCCACCGUAGCUCAGUCGGCAGAGCAGUCGCCUCGUAAGCGACGGGUCGCGGGUUCAAGUCCCGCCGGUGGCU